AUUGAACGCUGGCGGCAGGCCUAACACAUGCAAGUCGAACGGUAACAGGAAGAAGCUUGCUUCUUUGCUGACGAGUGGCGGACGGGUGAGUAAUGUCUGGGAAACUGCCUGAUGGAGGGGGAUAACUACUGGAAACGGUAGCUAAUACCGCAUAACGUCGCAAGACCAAAGAGGGGGACCUUCGGGCCUCUUGCCAUCGGAUGUGCCCAGAUGGGAUUAGCUAGUAGGUGGGGUAACGGCUCACCUAGGCGACGGUCCCUAGCUGGUCUGAGAGGAUGACCAGCCACACUGGAACUGAGGCACGGUCCAGACUCCUACGGGAGGCAGCAGUGGGGAAUAUUGCACAAUGGGCGCAAGCAUGAUGCAGCCAUGCCGCGUGUAUGAAGAAGGCCUUCGGGUUGUAAAGUACUUUCAGCGGGGAGGAAGGGAGUAAAGUUAAUACCUUUGCUCAUUGACGUUACCCGCAGAAGAAGCGCCGGCUAACUCCGUG
Molecule: ribosomal RNA, 490 nt
Filed under: uncultured bacterium
Lineage: Bacteria
Description: partial 16S ribosomal RNA
Rfam family: Bacterial small subunit ribosomal RNA
Source: RNAcentral